This 1294-nucleotide non-coding RNA is filed under the name Pan troglodytes (chimpanzee). The record is from RNAcentral. Lineage: Eukaryota; Metazoa; Chordata; Mammalia; Primates; Hominidae.
UUCCCUGCUAUGUUUUGUCACACAUCAUUGCUGGGAGAGUUCAGUGCUAUCCAAGUGACUCCCCCGGGAGAGGACAACUGGAAAUUUAUGCCUGGUGUCUUCCUGGACUCCGACCUAUGGACCUUCUUCCUUGGAUGAUUUUAACCUGUCUCCUUUUGCUGCAAUGAACCAUAACCAUAAGUAUAUCAGCUUUUCUAAUUUUUGUGAGUCCCUCAAGUGAAUUAUCAAACCUAAGGUAGUUUUGGGACCCCCAUCACAGAGAGUCAAACAGGGGCAGGGCAAGAAGAGCUGCUUUUCCUGGAAGGCUAAUGAGUCUGAACUUCGCCCUGGAGGUAAUCGUUAUAGUAACUCCAGGCUCUAACCUGGAGCUGACAUGAUAAGGUCAAAUGUACACCUCUAGAAGACUUCCGACUGCAGAGGGGAAUGGAUGGGGGAGCUGAGGGAGGAGAGCUGAAGCAGGAAGACCAUGGCCUGGAAAGAGAUGGCUGAACCAGUCCAGCCAUCCCCUUAGCCCUCUGCCCACAGUGAUCACUAACUGAUUGCUCCUCCUUAAAAGCCACCGAAAAGUGUGCUUGGCUGAUCUCCCUGACCUCAAUUUCUCUGCUGGCAGAAUCACAAGAAAGGCAUCAGCACCUUCUGUGAAAUGGGGAACCAUGCAGAGGAGGUGCCCAGGUGGCGAGGAGUCCAUGUCAGCUGCCGUCAUCCACACCACAGAUCAGACAUGGCAAAGAGUGGCCAGGCCUUCUGAGUGAAGGUGAUCCAACCUGUCACCAAGCCUAAGGGCAAAUCCUGGCUGUGCUGUGAUGGCUCCAACAACCCCAAACAGCAGCGCAGAGGCUGCAGCCGCCCUCGGAGGCAUCGCUGGGAAACGCUCAUUAGCAGCCUUCCAUUGCUCACCCGCCCCAUCCCACCUCUGUGCAUCCCAGAUCAUCAGCCAAGUGCACAGCUGGCUUCCAUCCUCGGAGCCUUCCUCCUUCAUUUGCCUAUUCAGCAGUUACAAAGGCCUGAGUUGCAAAGGGGCUUACAACCCAUUCCACCCAGAAGAAAGAGAACUGAGACUGAGCAAGACAGAGAAUGGGUGGAAGGGGAGAUGAAACCAAGCAAUCUCUAGAUCCCAAAUGGGGACCCUGAUGUAGCAAGAGCCUCUUCUAAAUCCUUUUCCAAUAGGGUAAUAUGGAAAAUAGUUGAAAGCACAAGCCAAGUGGGGCUGGAAUCCCAAAUGGGCCAUUUACUAGCUGUGUGACUGGACAAGUAAUUUCAUAUUUCUGGGCCUCGAUUUUUCUCAUCUGUAAAA